CCUACGGGUGGCAGCAGUCGAGAAUCAUUCACAAUGGGGGAAACCCUGAUGGUGCGACGCCGCGUGGGGGAAUGAAGGUCUUCGGAUUGUAAACCCCUGUCAUGUGGGAGCAAAUUAAUAAGAUAGUACCACAAGAGGAAGAGACGGCUAACUCUGUGCCAGCAGCCGCGGUAAUACAGAGGACGCAAGCUGUGUUCGGAAUCACUGGGCGUAAAGCGUGCGUAGGCUGUUUCGUAAGUCGUGUGUGAAAGUCGCGGGCUUAACCCGCGGACUGCACAUGAUACUGCGAGACUAGAGUAAUGGAGGGGGAACCGGAAUUCCCGGUGUAGCAGUGAAAUGCGUAGAGAUCGAGAGGAACAC
This 360-nucleotide ribosomal RNA is filed under the name uncultured bacterium. RNAcentral describes it as "partial 16S ribosomal RNA". It matches the Rfam family "Bacterial small subunit ribosomal RNA", at positions 338 to 709 of the family's 1533-position model. The record is from RNAcentral.